AUGGCCAACAUCUCCUUAGAAGACGUCAAGAACGAGAACGUCGACCUCGAGCGAAUCCCCGUUGAGGAAGUGUUCGAGCAGCUGAAAUGCACGAAAAGUGGAUUGACGGCCGAGGAAGGCCAGAAGCGGCUGGAGAUCUUCGGCCCGAACAAGCUUGAGGAGAAGAAGGAGUGCAAGGUCCUUAAGUUCCUGGGAUUUAUGUGGAAUCCUCUAUCAUGGGUCAUGGAGUGCGCUGCUAUCAUGGCCCUGGUUUUGGCCAAUGGAGGGGGCAAGCCAACUGACUGGCCAGACUUCGUCGGUAUUAUGGUGUUGUUGCUCAUCAACUCAACCAUCAGUUUCAUCGAGGAAAACAACGCCGGCAAUGCUGCGGCAGCUCUGAUGGCUAGUCUUGCCCCCAAGACUAAGGUCUUGAGGGAUGGAAAGUGGGGGGAGCAAGAGGCAGAAAUCCUGGUGCCAGGAGAUGUGAUCAGCAUCAAGUUGGGAGAUAUCGUCCCAGCUGAUGCGCGUCUCUUGGAAGGUGAUCCUCUCAAGAUUGACCAGGCUGCUCUCACCGGUGAGUCCCUUCCCGUUACCAGGAACCCAGGAGAUGAGGUAUUCUCUGGCUCUACCUGCAAGCAGGGUGAGAUCGAAGCUGUUGUCAUUGCUACCGGUGUCCAUACAUUCUUCGGAAAGGCUGCUCACCUUGUGGAUAGCACCAACCAAGUGGGUCACUUCCAAAAGGUGUUGACAUCCAUCGGAAACUUCUGCAUAUGCUCCAUUGCUGUGGGAAUGGUAAUUGAGAUCCUGGUGAUGUAUCCAAUUCAGCAUAGGGCAUAUAGAGAUGGUAUUGACAACCUGCUGGUGCUUCUGAUCGGAGGUAUCCCCAUUGCCAUGCCCACGGUCUUGUCCGUGACCAUGGCUAUUGGGUCUCACCGCCUUUCACAGCAAGGCGCCAUCACCAAGAGGAUGACAGCCAUUGAAGAGAUGGCUGGGAUGGACGUUCUUUGCAGUGAUAAGACCGGUACCCUCACCCUCAACAAGCUUACCGUCGAUAAGAGUCUAAUUGAGGUGUUCCCGAAGAACGUGGAUAAGGACGGCGUGGUGUUGCUCUCUGCUAGGGCCUCCAGGGUCGAAAACCAGGACGCCAUUGAUGCCUCGAUUGUUAAUAUGUUGGCCGACCCCAAGGAGGCAAGAGCAGGAAUCACUGAGGUGCAUUUCCUGCCCUUCAAUCCCGUCGACAAGCGCACAGCAAUCACCUACAUCGAUGCCAAUGGCGACUGGCACAGAUGCAGCAAGGGUGCACCUGAGCAAAUCAUUGACCUUUGCGAUCUCAAGGGAGAAACAAGGAAGAAGGCCCAUGCUGUCAUUGACAACUACGCAGAACGCGGUCUCCGCUCAUUGGGAGUUGCUCGACAGACAGUUCCUGAGAAGACCAAGGAGAGCGCCGGCAGUCCAUGGGAGUUUGUCGGUUUACUGCCUCUCUUUGAUCCUCCCAGGCACGACAGUGCUGAGACUAUCCGCCGUGCUCUUGAGCUCGGUGUCAACGUUAAGAUGAUCACUGGUGACCAACUUGCCAUUGGGAAAGAGACCGGUCGCAGGCUCGGCAUGGGAACUAACAUGUAUCCGUCAUCCACCCUUCUAGGACAGAGCAAGGACGAGUCCAUUGCCUCCAUGCCUGUUGAUGAGCUCAUCGAAAAGGCUGAUGGUUUCGCCGGAGUCUUUCCUGAGCACAAGUAUGAGAUUGUAAAGAAGCUACAGGAGAGGAAGCACAUCUGCGGGAUGACUGGAGAUGGUGUGAAUGAUGCCCCGGCGCUCAAGAGGGCGGACAUUGGUAUUGCCGUGGCAGAUGCAACUGACGCAGCCAGGAGCGCGUCGGACAUUGUCCUGACAGAGCCAGGGCUGAGUGUGAUUGUGAGUGCCGUCUUGACAAGCAGAGCCAUCUUCCAGAGGAUGAAGAACUAUACAAUCUACGCUGUUUCCAUCACAAUCCGUAUUGUGGUGGGAUUCAUGCUCGUUGCUCUCAUCUGGAAGUUCGACUUCUCGCCUUUCAUGGUCUUGGUUAUCGCUGUCCUGAACGAUGGGACUAUCAUGACCAUCUCCAAGGACAGAGUGAAGCCGUCUCCUCUCCCUGACUCAUGGAAGCUCAAGGAAAUCUUCGCCACUGGCGUUGUCCUUGGAACCUACAUGGCUGUCAUGACCGUGGUCUUCUUCUGGCUUGCAAAUAGCACCGACUUCUUCGGAAAACAUUUUGGAGUGCACAAUAUUUCAGACAACCCGAAACAGCUUAACUCGGCUAUCUACCUACAAGUGAGCAUCAUCAGCCAAGCGCUCAUCUUCGUGACUCGAUCUAGGAGCUGGUCCUUCCUCGAACGCCCUGGUCUCAUGCUUUUGGUCGCCUUUCUUGCAGCUCAGUUGGUGGCCACGCUCAUCGCUGUGUACUGCAGUUGGGGCUUUGCCAGAAUCGAAGGCGUUGGAUGGGGAUGGGCCGGUGUCAUCUGGAUCUACAGCAUCGUCACCUACUUCCCCCUCGAUAUCUUCAAGUUCAUUAUCCGCUACGCAUUGACCGGCAAGGCCUGGGAUACCAUUGUCCAGAACAAGACUGCCUUCACAUCAAACAAUGACUACGGAAAGGGGGCAAGAGAAGCGCAAUGGGCGUCAGCUCAGCGUUCGCUCAACGGUCUCCAGCCUCCGGAAGCAUUGUUCCACGGCAACCACGGGGAGCAGGCGGAGCUAGCUGAGCAGGCCAAGAGGCGCGCGGAAGUCGCUAGGUAAAAUGAUGCUUCCUUGUACAAAAACAAAAAAAGGGCACUCAAAAAACAGCAGGAUGCUUCCUAUGUUGACUGAGGGAACUGCACACGUUAAAGGGGCACGUCGAAUCAGUGGUUAAGCUGAAGGGGCUAGACAUUGACACCAUCCAACAACACUACACUGUUUAGAACACUUUCUAAAAAGGGCAAGGUGGACGCAAGGAGUGCUCAGAAGAAGCUGCAACUAAAUAUAUAUAUUUACAAAUAUAUAGUAUUUAUAUAUAUUCUAUGUUAUGAAAGUAGAGAAGGUAAAUGCUGUGAAAGCCAGCUGAGUGGAUUUGCCCUUAUAUUAGAUAUUGGAAAAAACUAAACCUCUUUGGGAUGGAAUGAAGAUUAAUUAUUGGGGUUUUUUUAUUUUUUUUAUUUUUUAAGAAUGAGGGGUUGUAUUGCCUAGGAAUCAAUAAUGCAAGAAUUUAGUAGUUCACAGUGAAA
Molecule: RNA transcript, 3218 nt
Organism: Malus domestica (apple)
Lineage: Eukaryota; Viridiplantae; Streptophyta; Magnoliopsida; Rosales; Rosaceae
Gene name: ATPase 8, plasma membrane-type
Source: RefSeq, a predicted model, not a curated record